Molecule: long non-coding RNA, 8171 nt
Organism: Bacillus rossius redtenbacheri
Lineage: Eukaryota; Metazoa; Arthropoda; Insecta; Phasmatodea; Bacillidae
Exons: 4
Source: RefSeq, a predicted model, not a curated record
CCUGCGAGUACUCGAAAUUCGAGUUUCGAGUCGAGUUUUUUAGUAAUACUCGAACUCGAGCUCGUGGCUUUUCAACAACUCGAAAUUCGAGCGAGCUUUUCUUGCACUCUACCUAUAGAAAAAAAAAGACUCUCAUUAUAAGGGAAUAAAAGUCUUACAACACUAUUAUCCUUUACUUUAUAAUGUAACAUGAUCGACCGUAUACAUGAACACAUCAUUUUUACGUACCCGGGAUUUACGAAUUUCCGUGAUGAAUUUUUUUUACUUCUAUAAUUUUCCGCAUAGUUUUAAUGUAUCACUUUCCUGCUUUAUGCGGAAGUAUUUCCCGCUUUAUGCGGAAACAUUUCCCGCAUUUUACUGUAAAAAGCGUUUAAAUUGUCCGGGGUCUCAUCAUUUACGCCAUAAAAUGUGUGAUAUAAAGUCCCGUUUAAAAUUUUUAUGAAAGUUCCUGCCAGUAAUGGCGCACGUAAAUAUAAAUAUGAAGAAAAGACAAAUGAACAACAACUUACGAAGAAAUAUGGAUGAUGUACCAUAACUACAGUACAAUUCCAAUAGUUAUCUUAAGAUAAUUACCAUAAAAAGAACUAACGAUUCUUUGUGGAUACCAUAACUACUGCAGAAGCAUGAUAGUUACCACAUUUGCACUAUAGUUGCCGUAAUAACCGAGAUGUGUAUUUACCGUGAUGGUAAUGUAUUUAUUUAGGACAUAUUAAAAAAAAAGGAUGUUAAAUCUUGAUAUGUACGGUUGGCACAUGUUGCUAAGAAAUAAUGCGAUCUGAAAGAAUGCAGUACUACUACGAAAAGUGAAAAGGGUACUAGUGGAUUUUUAGGUUAUGGCAGUCUCUUUCGUUUUUCAGUAAUAUCGGCCGAAAAUUAACAAGAGUAUUGGAAGUUGGCAGAAAUGCCGAUUCAACUAAAUAUUGGCAAAAUCGGCUUCUUCAGUACAGCUCUACAUUUGAUGACAUGAGUAAACAUAUUUCAGACUACAGGACAUUGAAAAAGACUUUAAUUUCCAUGUAGGUUUAUUGUGCGUAAGUUUUUUUUGCAAGUGUAAAUUGAAUUAAGUAAAAUGCUUCUAUUUUUAUUACUUUAAAUUGAUUAAACUUAAUGACAAGUUACAGAUAUUUGACACUAAUUUCGAGGUUAAACAAUUUGGUAAAUAUGUAGAGUAACGGUAUAUGCGAAAAAAAAUGCUAAAAAUCCGAAAAUACUUUUAUUCUAUGCUCUUUCACUUCCUCUUUUCAAAUCAACCGGCGGAGAUAAGAAAUUCCAAAUACUUUAGGAGAUAUAGAAUUUUUUAAUUUUGCAAUACAACACCUGUACAACCAUUAGACCGACGCCAUUUUUGUUAUUUUGCCGUGUGUUCGUGAAUGCGUAAUAAAUAAAAUGGUCGAUUAGGUCAGGUCAGUUACAUUAUUAAUACUUUCAAACUAAGCGGACAUAAAAAAUAAUGUGAAUUAAUUUCAAUGGUUCUUUAGUUUUAAAGUAUUUAUAAUGUAACUGACCUGACCUAACAAACCCGGACAAUAUCAAAAUAAAAAAUAAGACUUUAAAAUUAGAAACGUUAAAAACCCACCUAAGUUGGAGGCGGGUACAUUUCCUUUGCCAUUAGAAGGAAAUGAUGUAGUCGUUCACCUACGUCGCGAUACCUCCGACGGAUUAAUAAAUAAAUAAAUAAUCACGUAUUGGUUCAUUUGAAUACUGGCCAAUCACGGAACUGUCACGUGACAAAAUUGUCCAAUAAGAAACAUAAUAGAUACUCGUAAACCAGAAACAAUGGUGAUCGCCGCAUGAAUACCCAGGUAUUGUGAUGAAAAUUAAAAAAUUCGAUAUUCCUAAAGUAUUUGGAAUUUCUUAUCUCCGCCGGUUGAUUUGAAAAGAGGAAGUGAAAGAGCAUAGAAUAAAAGUAUUUUCGGAAUUUUAGCAUUUUUUUUCCGCAUAUACAGCGACUCUACAUAUUUACCAACAAUUUUACUAAAGCAUUCCAGCCACACAGGUUGCCAGCGAGAGAUGCUUCUCAUCUGCUGUAAACACCAUCUCCAAUCGUAGAGCUAAUUUAACUCCUGAACGUGCAGAACAAAUUAUUUUUCUGCAUGAUAGAUUGAAGAACAGAAUUUAAUACUCUAUGACAAUCUCUCUCAGAAUUUUUGUGCCGAAAAGUGGAAAUGUUGAAACAAUGUGAAUGUACUUUUCAAACAACAUGAUUUUUGGUGCUCAGUUAGUUGAAGCUCAGUAAGGACUCCAGAAAAAUUGACAAGGAUGAAAUUAUUCCAAAGUUAUGUUACAUUUACACAAACAUAUACGUACUUGUAAACUGUGGUUAUGUUAGUUGGAUUAUAUCAGUUACUAAUGAACCAAUGGAAACAGGUUAGAUUCAAUGGAAAACAUGUUUUUUUUCCUAGCAGUGCAAAUUAUAAAAGCACUCUGUAAAUAGUUACCCAAAAUUAAUAAGCCCACUUCAUUUUAAUACUUUAUUCAAACAUUAUACCUACUAAGUUUAAGGUAAAAAUAAUUUCCCAAAAGUGUAACUGUAUCACAAAAGCUCAAGCUUCGAGAACUUUCAAGUAGGCUCGCUCGAGCUUGGCUCAAAGUAAAAUUCUUAGGCUCGCAGACCUCUAAUGUAGGUCUAUCUAUUUAGUAGGCUAACAAUGAUAAUGGUUUCUUUUUUUAUUUCCAUAUUUUUCUCAAAAGUUCUCACAUUUUAUUACUCCAUCACAGUAAAUUUAUGUGCAAUAAACUGAAAAAAAAAAAAACUCGAACUCGACUCGAUACUCGCGAGUAUUUUAGCAAACUCGCUCGAGCUCGACUCGAAGUGAAAAUCUUCUGCUCGCAGAAGCCUACUAUUAAACUAAGAGGUGUUUUCUUUACAUAAUAUUAAAGCACAAUGUUUCCUUGUGGCGUAGGUGAUUUAGAAUUUCCAUUUAUCUAGAAAAAUGCGCUUUCAGAAUGUUUUUUAACACACAGUGUUUCGGAAGGUUUAUGAAGAAAAAAAAUUGACUACCCGUUUUAUUUUUUUGCAGCUGAAUUCGGGCACGUGCAUGAAAUAUAAUUAAACCGUAGGAAGCGCAAUGGUUUAAAGUAUUGAUGUUGAAGAUUUGAAAAGAUUUAUUGAAAUAGUGUGAGAGAAUGAGAGAGUUGAGUGAGAAGAUGUGCAGGAGUGGCAGAGGUUAGCUCUCAGCCACAUGUUGUGCGCAGUUGCGGACAAAAAAAUAAUCCAUUCCGCCUCCCCAUGGCGAAGGAUGAGUGAAAGAGAAACCUGCUAAACCUUCCCCUCCUCUGGGCACGAUAGAACCGUAUCGGCUGUGUGUUAGAGGGAGAGCGAGAUACAACCUUUGAGGUUCUGUUAAUUCCUCUUAGAUGGCAGGCCGCAGAGCGACCGCCAACAACACCCUUCCCGUCUGAAGGCCAUCUCGCCACUGACGAGCUGGAACUAAGCUCCUGACCUCCGUACAUAGUAACGGUCACCCACAUAGGCAUCUAGACUCUUUAGUGAUCAUAUGAUACAAAAUUCAUUGUUUUCGGGCCUGUGACCGUUUUUUACCGUGCACCAAUCGCCUUAAGCCCACACGCUAAACUCUCGGAUCGUCUAGCCCUUUCCCCCUCGGAAAUUUCAGCAGGCCACUUUGUGAAUCCCACAGAUUUGUGUACCUGCUGCUAGCCAAAUAAAAAAAAAGGACAGUAUUGCAUGUGUGUAGAACAUUCUGAGUUUAAAAUAAAGAAUGUCCCAAAUGACAAAAAUUGUGAAAGAAUAAUUUUUUCCUUAACUUAACCUAACUUAGAACUAAAGUAUUGUCGUGACUAGGGAUGUUAGGGAACGAACAAAUUAAUUGUCGGAGUGGGCGCCACCACGUGAUGUGGGCACGUGGACCCGGCGGAGACUCUCUUCAGGGCGUGACGUGACCCGUGUAGGGCUAGGCUCGGUUCCCUUAGCACGCGAUAUCGUUACAGUGGGCUCUUCAGGCGUCCCACACGCCUCAAGGUUCAGGAGCAGGGACACGUGGCCACUCGACUAAAAAUCACACGUUCGACGUACUCCUUUUAUUUCAGCAACGUUACAACACGUCUCCAAUCACGCUACACCUACAUACACUAUGAAACUGUUAAAAUGCCAACGGUGGGAGAGAAUAAGUUUACAUGCUGACCAGGUCACCUCGUGGCCUGGCAUCGUUAGUUUGGACGCGGUUCAUGAUUAAAUGUCCGAAUUGAACUUAAAUAUUUAUUAAAACGAGUCGGCCACCCGGAGUAGGCCUUGCAGAUACAAAAAAGGUUUAAGAAUGAUAAAAAGUCCGGCGGAUGUUAAAAGAUUAGUUGAUUAAGAAAAAUGUGAAGUUGCGCGGUGCUCACCAAGCAUCUUACCCUGGGUGACGAACGGAAGCGACUGAAGAGGCCAGGGCAGCAUGGCGGCCGGAAAGCGCUGGAUUUACUGUUAGUCUCUCCUGUUAUUUAUUAAUACAUAUUUUAACUAAAACAAAUACACUAAACAUUCUAUAAUAAAAUUAUAACAAAGUUUCCUUAAUUAUUUAAGUUGAGUAUUGAUUAUUUUAACUAUGAUUAUGGUUCAAACUUGUUGCGGGUAGUUCCAUUGCCUGCCGCGUGGGGCGCUGCGCCGUCCUUACAACUAGCACUUAAAACAUAAACACUUAGGGAAUAUUAUUUAAAGAAAAGACAGUUAGGUAAACCUAAAAAUUGAAUAAUAAAAUAAAAGAGGUCGUGCCACAGACUUUACUCCCGCCUCUUGUCGGCAGCCUCACACGCACACACACACACACACACCUGCACACGGGGCGGGAGGUUUGAAAUAGAGGGUGGUGGUGGGAGGAGAGGGGUGGCGACGGCAUGAGGCACAUCAGGCUUAGGGAGGGCGUAGCCCUGGUCGACGUCAGUAUAAUAUGUUUAGUAAAUGAUCAGAGUUAAGGAAGGACAUUAGUGCAUCUCAGAAGCAAGCCUAUAUGCCUAUUCAUAAUGGGUAUCAACCAUGUUUUGUUUGGGGAUUAGCAAGCCAUGAAUGCAAUAGCCUCCUUUGCUUUAAUCUGACUAGCAGACUACAGUAUCGCACAGCUGAUCAGAAUGACAAGGCCACAUACUUGAAAACAUUUGAGCUAGACUAACAGCCAGCUAGCCUACUUCCUCAAAUUGAUGGGGUCCCAGGUCCUUCUGGCCAAGUUUAAUAAUGAAACCCAAAACUUCAUGUGGUUUUUAAUAUAUAAAAUUAGUUGUUUAAUUUUAGAAUCUUCUUGAAGGUAUUUGUGAGGACAGAAAAACUUUAUAAAAAUGUAACAUAAACAUUUGGAAAUCCAGUAAAAAUAUAUACGUAUAUAUAAAAGCUUUUCAAAUCAAUGUGAUCUCAUGGAGUAGUAAAACUGUUGGCUAGUAAAAAUGUGUGUGGCAAUGUUUGAAAAAAAUAAGAGAUAAAAUAAUUAGACACAAUUUAGUUUAUUAGGGUUGGUUGACUUAGCAACUGAGAGGAGAUAUAUACACAGCAGGAAAUAUAGCUGUAUAUGAAGUAAAUUAAGACAGUUGUAAGGUAAGCUAGUAUUAGUGAUGGAUGGAAGUGCAUGCAGAAUUUUGUAGAACAGGUACACUAUUUCAACUGAAUGAAUCUUAAUAUGACUCAAAAAUUGGGAGUUUCUGUUACAAGAUAGGACUAGAAUAGGGUUGCAUAGCUUCCAUAAGAAUAAGAAACAGAUUUUCAGGCUGGAUUGUGAUCAAGGAAAUAUAUCUUUUGUUUACAAGAUUUCACUCUCAAAUGUAGCUAGGGGAAAACUGCAUAAUAGUUUACCACGCUGUUCCACUCCCUCCCCAACACAAAUGUUGGUGUGCUCUACAUUGCAAGUACGAAACUAACCACAAAGCAGGACAUAUCAAGCUACAGUUGUUGGGAAUUGUAAUGUUCCCGCUACAAAAUAGGUCACUUAGUACACAAUUAAGUCAGGUACCAAAUGUAGUGCAGAUGAUAAGAAAUGUAAAGUAGCAAACCUUUAAUUUAUAUUAUGAAAUGGACAACAUAUAUGAUGUCAUGAGACUACUAAAGACAUUAUAAGCCUGCAGUCUUUCAUGUUCUUACCUUGUGACCGUCGCACAGCCACGUUGACUCUAUGCACUCACGCAUGCCACACUGGAACUGGUUGCUGCCACACUUGAAUGUCUCUUCGGACGGGUUCCUCAAGAUGUCUGAAAAAAGGAACUGUAGGUUCUCCACACGAUAUAUAACACAUAUACAUCCACUCUCUACCCCAAACAACUUUGACACGCUAGACCUGAAGUUCAACAACUGGUUUAUUGGAAGUACUUGGGAUAGAACACUAAGUAUCUGGUUAACGUUUAAUUGAACCAAGUUCUUCAACCACUGCAUAAUUUGUCACUGCCAUAAAAUUAUUUCUUGAAAUCAUUGUGGGUAACACCAUACCAGAAAACUAUUCCAAUAAUAGAGUUAUUUUAUUAUUUAAAUGAAAUCAUUUUGCAGUGGUUGUAGAGAGUUUUUAUUUGCACUAUAUUAAAUGUUGGCAGUGAGUUAUUUUAGACCACCCUUUAUUCAGUAGUUUCAUUAUUCUCAGUGAGAUAGAAGCUUAGUGCAGCAUUUCUAUCAUACUGAUUACUUUAAUUUUUGAACAAAUUAUUGCACAUAAAAAUUAUUUUAAAUAUGUUUUGACAUUGACCAGGGCUGCACUCUCAAAACCCGAUGUGCCUCGCCCCACUUCAGGCCCUUCUUCUCCCACCAUCAGCCUCUAUUCAAACCUCCCGCCAAUGAGUGUGUGUGUGUGUGUGUGCGUGUGUUUGUUCACCUCACAAGAGGUAAAUAGUGUCUGUGCCACACACCCUAAUAUAAUAUUUUAUUUAAUAUUAUUCAUAAUUUUAUUUUUAUUUUUAAAUUCCCCCAGUGUAUUGUUUUCUUUCAGCUUAAAUAGCGAUGGAGCAGUGCAAUGUACAAACACUUUCGGAACGCACCCCUAUGCAGAAAGUUUAAUUUUGAACUUGAUAAAUAAUUAGAUUAAUUACUAAUACAAGUAAAUGUUUUUUAAUUCUGAGGCCAUUUGCUGGGCCUCAGUCUUACUGCACCUUUUUCUAUCAAUUCUUCUAUUUUUCCUUUUUUGUGUUUUAAAUAUUGUUCUGAUGUUAUUCUUGUUCUUAUAUAGGCCAGUUAUUAUUUAUUUAAAUAUGUGUGUAAUUCUUUUAUAUUCUAUUUUUGUUUUGAUGUGAGUCAGUUUCUUUUAUACGCUAAUACGCAAUAUCGAUACUGUUUCCUCGGGUGGCCACUGCGCGCUGUGUCAUCGGCGGCUACCUGACGUCACGAUUGCCGGAAGAGAGAAUGGGGAGUCUACUGCCGGCGGGGCUGGAAGACACGUCGUGGGACGUCUCCGUGCGGAUGCGCGAGGUCUCGCCGGGUGGGCGAGCCGAAUGCCUGCGGAGAUGGAGAGGCGGCCCACCACUACUUGUGCUGGCACUUUGAGCACUACGUUUGUUGAGGACAACGGGAGUGAUUAUACUAUGGAUCGCCAGCACCGACAAGGUCCAUCUUGCCACGAGGCCCGACGUAGCACCAGGGUUGGGACUCUGAGCCGCCCACGUUGCGGCAGUGGUUGUGCCCCGACAGCUUGGAGGCCAUGUCCGCUGCGGAGACUCUGGGCCACACGUACGGCAGCACCUCCUCCAGGUCCCAGUCGAGGCAGGGCUCUCCGUUCACAGUGACGUUGGCCGGGCCGUCGUAGUCGUCUCCCGCGCCGUUCGCACAGCCUGGCGGGACGUCAAGGAGCGUGCACUAUUACUACAGACAACAUUAUAUGGGGAACUGAGAUAAAACUGAAAUAACGACAAGUGGCUGCUAGUAGCCCAGAGAGCGCCGCCGAAGUGAGGAACGACUUCUGGUGGAAGAGAGUUGAGACUCUGCAAUGGGCCGGCGACGAAGGAAGUGAUUGUUGGAGCUGGCAUAAGAGACCACCAUGGUGCAACCGGGAAUAAUGAAGCAAGGCGAACCAGUUCUGAGUUGGAUGUUCGGCACGGCCAUAGCAUGAACCUACGACCAAGACUGCUGCGCCCAGCUGCCGACUACUGCAGAGAGCUUAUCGCGGCGUGCCAAGAAGUGACCUCCGAGGAGCUGGCAGUGCUGAAUGGCUUCUCCGUGGGUGAAGGCUUCUGCCCGCCCCUCCUCCACCAGCGCGUAGCAGCGGCCCCCG